Molecule: unclassified non-coding RNA, 417 nt
Filed under: Neodiprion pinetum (white pine sawfly)
Lineage: Eukaryota; Metazoa; Arthropoda; Insecta; Hymenoptera; Diprionidae
Description: uncharacterized LOC124224006, transcript variant X2
Source: RNAcentral
AGUUAUAUUAGAGUUCAGUGGCGUAAACGUAGUAAAUGUGUAGCAAGCUCAGAAUAAAAUUAAUAAAAAUAUUGCUUCUUGAUUCACUGAUAAAUCAUACAUCGUUACAAAGAGUCAAUUCCGAAAACUAAAAACAAAAAAACGUACGGAAUUCAAAAAUACUUUUUAUAACUCAUUCUUGUAUUGAAGUGAAAUCCAAGUUGAAAAGUACGUGUUCGGUUAUGUUGACAUCUUUUUUUGAUACGGAAUUUUUAUAAAUUGAAUGCACAUACGUAACAUCUAGUUCGGUAUUUGGAAUUAUAUAACGCAAAAUGCAAUGAGGGCACCAGAUGUCACCAGCAAAGUCAGUUCCCAAUUCAGAGAGCUUGAUAGUUUCACACUUAACCUCUACGAAGUGAACGAUGUAUGUGCAUGCAG